UACGGGGGGGGCAAGCGUUGUUCGGAAUUACUGGGCGUAAAGGGCUCGUAGGCGGCCAACUAAGUCAGACGUGAAAUCCCUAGGCUCAACCUAGGAACUGCGUCUGAUACUGGAUGGCUUGAAUCCGGGAGAGGGAUGCAGAAUUCCAGGUGUAGCGGUGAAAUGCGUAGAUAUCUGGAGGAAUACCGGUGGCGAAGGCGGCAUCCUGGACCGGCAUUGACGCUGAGGAGCGAAAGCCAGGGGAGCGAACGGG
RNAcentral lists this ribosomal RNA (253 nucleotides) under uncultured bacterium. Its description in RNAcentral is "partial 16S ribosomal RNA". It matches the Rfam family "Bacterial small subunit ribosomal RNA", at positions 524 to 776 of the family's 1533-position model. The record is from RNAcentral.